GUCCAGACUCCUACGGGAGGCAGCAGUGGGGAAUAUUGCACAAUGGGGGAAACCCUGAUGCAGCGACGCCGCGUGAGCGAAGAAGUAUUUCGGUAUGUAAAGCUCUAUCAGCAGGGAAGAAAAUGACGGUACCUGACUAAGAAGCCCCGGCUAACUACGUGCCAGCAGCCGCGGUAAUACGUAGGGGGCAAGCGUUAUCCGGAUUUACUGGGUGUAAAGGGAGCGUAGACGGCAUGGCAAGUCAGAUGUGAAAGCCCGGGGCUCAACCCCGGGACUGCAUUUGAAACUGUCAGGCUGGAGUGCAGGAGAGGUAAGUGGAAUUCCUAGUGUAGCGGUGAAAUGCGUAGAUAUUAGGAGGAACACCAGUGGCGAAGGCGGCUUACUGGACUGUAACUGACGUUGAGGCUCGAAAGCGUGGGGAGCAAACAGGAUUAGAUACCCGUGUA
This 446-nucleotide ribosomal RNA is filed under the name uncultured bacterium. RNAcentral's name for it is "bacterial SSU rRNA". It matches the Rfam family "Bacterial small subunit ribosomal RNA", at positions 329 to 792 of the family's 1533-position model. The record is from RNAcentral.